Molecule: ribosomal RNA, 253 nt
Filed under: uncultured bacterium
Lineage: Bacteria
Description: partial 16S ribosomal RNA
Rfam family: Bacterial small subunit ribosomal RNA
Source: RNAcentral
UACGUAGGGUGCGAGCGUUGUCCGGAAUUACUGGGCGUAAAGAGCUCGUAGGUGGUUUGUCGCGUUGUUCGUGAAAACCGGGGGCUUAACCCUCGGCGUGCGGGCGAUACGGGCAGACUUGAGUACUGCAGGGGAGACUGGAAUUCCUGGUGUAGCGGUGGAAUGCGCAGAUAUCAGGAGGAACACCGGUGGCGAAGGCGGGUCUCUGGACAGUUCCUGACGCUGAGGCACGAAGGCCAGGGGAGCAAACGGG